UCAGGUCCUUCACAUGCCCCAGUUGUCUCCACCACUCAAACGCUGCACCGAUGUUGACUCGGGUCUGACUUCUUUCUUUAUCCAGAGCCUAUUCUGUUGCAGCAUUUUCUGCCUCAGGAUUUUUUUCCUUGCCUUAUUAGCAGGGCGAGCGGUUACAUUUUGCAUUUUCUCUGCCAUUGUAGCCAAAUGAACUUCUUCUCCUCCAACUCCAUAUUUCCAUAUUUCUUCAAAGGAGUGUGCUGAAUAUUUCCGGCAUCAGUGAAACGCAACGUGUGCACGCGCAGAGGAGGGAGGGACAGAGGGGGGCGCAGGCAGAAGGAGACAUGAAGGCAUCUGACCAAUCCGAGCUAUUCAGGCUGAAAAGGACAGAUUGGUCAGCUUUUUCUCAGUCCUGCAGCUGCUACAGUGGUCUGAUUAUUUUCGUUCCUUUUUCUGAAUACAUAAUAUGUUGACAACUCUCAGGAUAGCAGGACCAUUUCACCCAGUAUAACAAAAUGUGUUUCUGAACAACAUUACAGACCCUAGCUUUAAGUUCCUGGUAAAAGUUAAGCUAAAUAGAGGCUGAAAAAAAGGACAGAGCUGAGUGGAGACACUUGAGAGGUUCUGGCUCUGGCGUGUGUGAGCUGACCAAUCAGAGCAGACUAGGUAUUUGAGAGAGGGAGGGACCUUAAAGGCACAGGAGCUAAAACAGAGUGUCUCAGACAGAAUGCAGCACUGCAGAACUGGAUGCAUUCCAUAAACAUUAAAGCACCUUAACCACUAGUGUUGUGAUGAACCAUACAGCUAGCAUGGUGCUAAUGUUAAUUCAAUAUGCCACCAAAUGUUUCACUUUCAAUUUCACAGUCCUGAGGAGGAGUUUAGCAAACACAUUUGGGAUCACGGAGGUUCUUAUAAAAUGAACGGACUUCAGGUUGACUUGCAUACAGAGAUGUUCCAACUCCAUGGUCAAGAUAUGUGAAUAGCACCUUCAGUCCAGAUAGAAGGACAGAGCCGACUGCUGGCAGGCCAUUUUCCAUCCUAUGACUUUAGCCGCGAGGUGCACGGCGGUCCUCGUUUUCGCACUUUUUGUCUGCACACGUGAGGAGCCACGGGGAGAUGUGCCCAGUAUAACAGCCCUCUCAGCAAGUUCAGGGUAAUGAGCCUGUGCCAGCUGAGAAGGAGAACCGGUAGCUGCAACAGAUGCUGAGAGGAAACUGCAUCAUAGCGCUGUCCACACGAGAAAGCACACGCAGUCACCACUUGACUCGUCUCCACCAAGACGCUCCCUCCAGUGCUUCGCUGCCCCAGGGCAGGGCGCCCCAGGUUCCAGGCAGCUGCAGCACCAUCUAACAGCGGGGUAUGAGGCUCGUACACCACAAAUAUACACACACAUAAGCACACACACCCAAGCCUCAGAAGUUAUUCCCCACUGUUUGUCAUCACGCUUCUUUGUCACUCAUUAAUACGAGUGGCAUGGCAUCAAACAUAAUGAGCCCGAAGCGGCGUGUGGAGCCGGGACGUGCUAGCAGACAGGUUUUCUACAACCCUGAUUCCACAGAAGCUGGAACACUGUCUGACACUUAAUCAAUGGAAAACUGUACUGUACCAACUGGCUGUUAAAAACGUAAAAGUCCGUCUCUGGAGUCAGCGUUUGGUUUGUUUGUCUAUGAGCAUUAAACCAUAUAAACUUAUUCUAGAAGUAACUCAAACUAUGAAAGCUGAAAAUUAGCAUAAUAGGUCUCCUUCAGUUUACUACAGGAAGCAUUUCUUAGCCUGUCCAAAAAAAAAUAUCAUAAUAUGUUCCAUUUGUUGUUUGUAGAGUUAUUUUCUUAUCCAAGCUGUUGUUCUAGAAUGGGUCAGAAAUGAAUUAGUAAAUUGCUUUAAAAAUCUGUCUGUCACACAACUGAUGGAUUUCAGCGAUUUAAACGUCUGUGGCUGACAUAAAGGUCAAAAUGCCAUCUCUCUGACAGAUCGUUUAAGGCUGGAAAUGAAUUAAUGCGUUGAGAAAAUGAAGGAACCAUAAAGGAAUGUGUAUGGUGUCAGCGUCCUUGACUGACAUCUCGAGCCCCAGAUUAGUCUCAUGCAUAAGUAAUGCCAGUGGAGGCCAAAUUUGCUUGCUCUGAUUUUGCGAGGUGCAAACAGCGUCUCGUGCUUCACCUCGCCCUGGGUUUAACACAGAUUAGAACAGAGUUGCCAAUGAGAACUUGAUGUGGACAAAAAACAGGCUUGUGCUGCGUGUUACCAGCUGCUUUGGGGGGGGGACAAUGCAAGGCUUGUAACUCGGCUGUUAAAAAGAAUUCUAAAUGCAGACUACAUUUCAGUGAAUUAAUGAAUCGGGGAUGGAGGAGCUGGCGGUCAACAGUUCACCUCCAUCAGCUCGGUAACAAAACUGGUGAGCAGAAAUGUAAUACCCCCGCGUGAUUGUC
Molecule: long non-coding RNA, 2405 nt
Organism: Acanthopagrus latus (yellowfin seabream)
Lineage: Eukaryota; Metazoa; Chordata; Actinopteri; Spariformes; Sparidae
Exons: 3
Source: RefSeq, a predicted model, not a curated record